GGCAACCUGGCCGAGCGGUCUAAGGCGCCAGGUUAAGGUCUAUCCUGGUCUCUUCGGAGGCGAGAGUUCGAAUCUCUCGGUUGUCA
RNAcentral lists this transfer RNA (86 nucleotides) under Yarrowia sp. B02. RNAcentral's name for it is "tRNA-Leu". It matches the Rfam family "tRNA". Rfam says of the family: Transfer RNA (tRNA) molecules are approximately 80 nucleotides in length. Their secondary structure includes four short double-helical elements and three loops (D, anti-codon, and T loops). RNAcentral also lists the same sequence under 2 other names. Lineage: Eukaryota; Fungi; Ascomycota; Dipodascomycetes; Dipodascales. The record is from RNAcentral.